RNAcentral lists this small RNA (133 nucleotides) under Pantoea stewartii. Its description in RNAcentral is "RtT sRNA". It matches the Rfam family "RtT RNA". Rfam says of the family: This family represents a bacterial cis-regulatory element known as RtT RNA. The exact function of RtT is unknown although it is thought that it may be involved in changing the cellular response in relation to amino acid starvation. The record is from RNAcentral. RNAcentral also lists the same sequence under 1 other name. Lineage: Bacteria; Pseudomonadati; Pseudomonadota; Gammaproteobacteria; Enterobacterales; Erwiniaceae.
CAGUACAGUCAAACGUGCAUGAUGAGAACCUGCAGCAGGUUCGACUGAAUCGCGGUGCGAUUCAGGCUGAUGCGUCAGCAUCACCCGCAGGGCGAGGCCCACGGGGCCGAAGGCCAUCCUGCACGACCCACCA